This 253-nucleotide ribosomal RNA is filed under the name uncultured bacterium. RNAcentral describes it as "partial 16S ribosomal RNA". It matches the Rfam family "Bacterial small subunit ribosomal RNA", at positions 524 to 776 of the family's 1533-position model. The record is from RNAcentral.
GACGUAGGGCGCAAGCGUUGUCCGGAAUUACUGGGCGUAAAGAGCUCGUAGGUGGUUUGUCGCGUUGUUCGUGAAAACUCACAGCUUAACUGUGGGCGUGCGGGCGAUACGGGCAGACUAGAGUACUGCAGGGGAGACUGGAAUUCCUGGUGUAGCGGUGGAAUGCGCAGAUAUCAGGAGGAACACCGGUGGCGAAGGCGGGUCUCUGGGCAGUAACUGACGCUGAGGAGCGAAAGCGUGGGGAGCAAACAGG